AAAGACAUGAAUUUCACUAAACCUGCAGUAACAUCUGCUAAAUGUGUGACCAAUAAACUUUGAUAUGAACAUCAAUCAAUGUUUACAGAGACAGUAAUGUAGUUAGUAAACCAAAUAUUUAUUAUGGUCUUCACAACAAAUCAGCUGUGCAGGUGGUAAAAGGCCAGAGUCCAACAACAGGAGAGAUUCUAGCAGUAGUCAACAGCCAGGUGCCAUUGGCAGAGUAGAGGGCUGGGUAUGCGGGAUCCGUCCUUCACACCAAUGAGACCGGCUUCAGACAACCAUGGUUCAGCUCUUUGCAAAUCAUGGACCGCUGGCUUCAAACAGGGGGCUUGGAGUGGGUGGGGAAAAACAAUCACAGCAGUAGGGGAAUGGGCCAGUCUACUUGGACCUCUGCCUCAUCUUUCGCCUUUUACGCUUCAGCCUACAAAGACCAGAAAGUGUCAAUUAGUGACCAGAGCUGCAUCAUUACAUACCAAACACAGCAUGUCAGUUUGUAAAAGUCCCUACAAUGAUUAGCAUUAAUCCCACCAUUGCUGUGUGCUCAUUUAGUAUUUAAAAUGUAACGUUUAUUUAACUAGGCAAGUCAGUUAAGAACAAAUUCUUAUUUACAAUGACACACGGUCCCCGGUAGUUAACUGCCUUGUUCUGGGGAACAGAUUUAAGUUGUCACCUCGGGGAUUCGAUCCAGCAACAUUGUGGUUACUGGCCCAAUUUUCUAACCACUUGGCUACCCGCCACCCCAAAUGAAAACAUUAAUCCUGGACUGAACUAUUAUGAGCCUUAAAAAAAAAAAGUCAUAUGCAUGAGUUUCAUGCAAACAAGUAUUCAUUCAUGUUUACAGCACAAGCUGCGGGUCGAAACAGGAAGACAUGUGGAUAUCUGGCAUGGCAAUGCAGACCAUGCGUCACAAGGUUAGGAGUUAAGACCAUACAAACACGCAGGCAUGACACUGGUGAACAGUAUCAUUUAUCCUGCUAAUAUAAGCCACUCACGAAAUCUACAAAAUACAUUACAAGUAAUAUUGCUAGUACCUUGUGCGCCAUUGGGCCGUGAAACCUAGUUCGCCAACGUGGUCAAGCUAGCAAACGUUAGCUAAAAACGCCAUGGGUGAAGUAAAUUGUAUAUCCAACAUUCAAAAUGCAAAACUCGUGCCAAUUAAGCGUUUAACCUUUAAUGUAAUAUUGAAUACAGCCAAUGUUUCCAUAAUAUAGGAAGCCAACUAUUUAGGCACGUUGUCGUCAGAGAAAUGUGUGUAUAGCGUUAGGUAGCUAGCCACUGCUUAAUGACAAUGAGCCAAACAAAAGCCCGCUAAUAUGAAGUUAGAUAUUUAUCAACUCACCUUUGCUCUCAUCUUGUGGAGAUGUGUCUGCAAUUAAAGAUAACAAAGUUGUUUAAUGUAACGGAUGGCAAGCAAUUACUACUGAUUUAGUUGGAUUUGUUUUGGGACAGAAUUCAAUGUUUCUUACCUCUACAGCGAA
Molecule: long non-coding RNA, 1481 nt
Filed under: Salmo salar (Atlantic salmon)
Lineage: Eukaryota; Metazoa; Chordata; Actinopteri; Salmoniformes; Salmonidae
Description: lncRNA (ENSSSAG00000094400.1)
Source: RNAcentral